Molecule: long non-coding RNA, 495 nt
Organism: Cyprinus carpio carpio
Lineage: Eukaryota; Metazoa; Chordata; Actinopteri; Cypriniformes; Cyprinidae
Source: Ensembl
CUGGGACCGGCAGCGAUGGCUCCCCUGGUAGCCCAGUUGGCUCGGUCAGUUCAGGUGGCCACGGUGGAUCAGUCCAUUCUCGUUGUGCAGACGGCCAGGGAGGAAUUCGCCAUUUGAGUGGCCCGAACGGAACCUGCCAAUCGGGGAGCCAGUAAGGAGCAGGCUGUGGCGAUGGCCAGGGAGGAAUUCGCCAUUUGAGUGGCCCGAACGGAACCUGCCAAUCGGGGAGCCAGUAAGGAGCAGGCUGUGGCGAUGGCCAGGUCACGGCAUUGGGAACGGCAUCGGGAACGGCCUCAGACAAGGGCACCGCCUCGGGAACGGCCUUGGACACGGGUAUCGCCUCCGGAACCAUCUCGGGCCCCGCCUCGGCCUCCGGAACAGCAUCGGGCACUGCCUCGGGAAUGGCCUCAGGAACGGCAUCGGACAAGGACACCGCCUCGGGAACGACCUCGGCAUCGGGCACCGCCUCGGGAACGGUCUCAGGAACGGCCUCCG